AGUUGGAAACGACUGUUAAUACCGCAUAAUAUCUGCGGAUUAAAGGUGGCCUUUGUGCUGCCGCAGAUGGAUGAGCCUGCGUUAGAUUAGCUUGUUGGUGGGGUAAGGGCCUACCAAGGCUACGAUCUAUAGCUGAUUUGAGAGGAUGAUCAGCCACAUUGGGACUGAGACACGGCCCAAACUCCUACGGGAGGCAGCAGUGGGGAAUAUUGGACAAUGGGCGAAAGCCUGAUCCAGCAAUGCCAUGUGUGUGAAGAAGGCUUUCGGGUUGUAAAGCACUUUAGUUGGGGAGGAAAGCUUAUGAGUUAAUAGCUUAUAAGAAGGACGUUACCCAAAGAAUAAGGACCGGCUAACUCCGUGCCAGCAGCCGCGGUAAUACGGGGGGUCCGAGCGUUAAUCGGAAUUACUGGGCGUAAAGGGUCUGUAGGUGGUUUGUUAAGUCAGAUGUGAAAGCCCAGGGCUCAACCUUGGAACUGCAUUUGAUACUGGCAAACUAGAGUAUAGUAGAGGAAUGGGGAAUUUCUGGUGUAGCGGUGAAAUGCGUAGAGAUCAGAAGGAACACCAAUGGCGAAGGCAACAUUCUGGACUAAUACUGACACUGAGGGACGAAAGCGUGGGGAUCAAACAGGAUUAGAUACCCUGGUAGUCCACGCUGUAAACGAUGAGUACUAGCUGUUGGAGUCGGUGUAAAGGCUCUAGUGGCGUAGCUAACGCGAUAAGUACUCCGCCUGGGGACUACGGCCGCAAGGCUAAAACUCAAAGGAAUUGACGGGGACCCGCACAAGCGGUGGAGCAUGUGGUUUAAUUCGAUGCAACGCGAAGAACCUUACCUGGUCUUGACAUCCUGCGAACUUUCUAGAGAUAGAUUGGUGCCUUCGGGAACGCAGUGACAGGUGCUGCACGGCUGUCGUCAGCUCGUGUUGUGAAAUGUUGGGUUAAGUCCCGCAACGAGCGCAACCCCUAUUGAUAGUUACCAUCAUUAAGUUGGGUACUCUAUUGAGACUGUCGCUGACAAGGCGGAGGAAGGUGGGGACGACGUCAAGUCAUCAUGGCCCUUACGACCAGGGCUACACACGUGCUACAAUGGGUAUUACAGAGGGCUGCGAAGGUGCGAGCUGGAGCGAA
Molecule: ribosomal RNA, 1125 nt
Filed under: uncultured Pseudomonadota bacterium
Lineage: Bacteria; Pseudomonadati; Pseudomonadota
Description: bacterial SSU rRNA
Rfam family: Bacterial small subunit ribosomal RNA
Source: RNAcentral